RNAcentral lists this ribosomal RNA (253 nucleotides) under uncultured bacterium. RNAcentral describes it as "partial 16S ribosomal RNA". It matches the Rfam family "Bacterial small subunit ribosomal RNA", at positions 524 to 776 of the family's 1533-position model. The record is from RNAcentral.
UACAGGGGGGGCCAGCGUUAUUCGGAAUUAUUGGGCGUAAAGGGCGCGUAGGCGGCCAUGCGUGUCUUCCGUGAAAUCCCUCGGCUUAACUGAGGACGUGCGGAAGAAACUGCAAGGCUUGAGUCCGGGAGAGGGGGGUGGAAUUCCCAGUGUAGCGGUGAAAUGCGUAGAUAUUGGGAGGAACACCGGUGGCGAAGGCGGCCCCCUGGACCGGUACUGACGCUGAGGCGCGAAAGCGUGGGUAGCAAACGGG